UACAGAGGUGGCAAGCGUUGUUCGGAAUUACUGGGCGUAAAGGGCGCGUAGGCGGCCAUCUAAGUCAGACGUGAAAUCCCCAGGCUCAACCUGGGAACUGCGUCUGAUACUGGGAGGCUAGAGUUUGGGAGAGGGAUGUAGAAUUCCAGGUGUAGCGGUGAAAUGCGUAGAUAUCUGGAGGAAUACCGGUGGCGAAGGCGGCAUCCUGGACCAAUACUGACGCUGAGGCGCGAAAGCUAGGGGAGCAAAC
Molecule: ribosomal RNA, 250 nt
Filed under: uncultured bacterium
Lineage: Bacteria
Description: partial 16S ribosomal RNA
Rfam family: Bacterial small subunit ribosomal RNA
Source: RNAcentral